This 466-nucleotide ribosomal RNA is filed under the name uncultured bacterium. Its description in RNAcentral is "partial 16S ribosomal RNA". It matches the Rfam family "Bacterial small subunit ribosomal RNA", at positions 28 to 507 of the family's 1533-position model. The record is from RNAcentral.
GAUGAACGCUGGCGGCGUGCUUAACACAUGCAAGUCGAACGAUGAAGCCCAGCUUGCUGGGUGGGUUAGUGGCGAACGGGUGAGUAACACGUGAGUAACCUGCCCUUAACUCUGGGAUAAGCCUGGGAAACUGGGUCUAAUACCGGAUAGGAGCGUCCACCGCAUGGUGGGUGUUGGAGAGAUUUAUCGGUUUUGGAUGGACUCGCGGCCUAUCAGCUUGUUGGUGAGGUAAUGGCUCACCAAGGCGACGACGGGUAGCCGGCCUGAGAGGGUGACCGGCCACACUGGGACUGAGACACGGCCCAGACUCCUACGGGAGGCAGCAGUGGGGAAUAUUGCACAAUGGGCGAAAGCCUGAUGCAGCGACGCCGCGUGAGGGAUGACGGCCUUCGGGUUGUAAACCUCUUUCAGUAGGGAAGAAGCGAAAGUGACGGUACCUGCAGAAGAAGCACCGGCUAACUACGUG